RNAcentral lists this ribosomal RNA (253 nucleotides) under uncultured bacterium. Its description in RNAcentral is "partial 16S ribosomal RNA". It matches the Rfam family "Bacterial small subunit ribosomal RNA", at positions 524 to 776 of the family's 1533-position model. The record is from RNAcentral.
UACGUAGGGUGCGAGCGUUGUCCGGAAUUACUGGGCGUAAAGAGCUCGUAGGUGGUUUGUCGCGUUGUUCGUGAAAACUCACAGCUCAACUGUGGGCGUGCGGGCGAUACGGGCAGACUAGAGUGUUGCAGGGGAGACUGGAAUUCCUGGUGUAGCGGUGAAAUGCGCAGAUAUCAGGAGGAACACCGGUGGCGAAGGCGGGUCUCUGGGCAACAACUGACGCUGAGGAGCGAAAGCGUGGGGAGCGAACAGG